Molecule: ribosomal RNA, 253 nt
Filed under: uncultured bacterium
Lineage: Bacteria
Description: partial 16S ribosomal RNA
Rfam family: Bacterial small subunit ribosomal RNA
Source: RNAcentral
UACGUAGGUGGCAAGCGUUGUCCGGAUUUAUUGGGUUUAAAGGGUGCGUAGGCGGUCCUAUAAGUCAGUGGUGAAAGCUCCGGGCUUAACUUGGAAACUGCCAUUGAUACUGUAUAUCUUGAAUGUCGUUGAGGUUAGCGGAAUGUUGCAUGUAGCGGUGAAAUGCUUAGAUAUGUUACAGAACACCAAUUGUGAAGACAGCUAACUAAGCGAUGAUUGACGCUGAGGCACGAGAGCGUGGGGAGCAAACAGG